This 446-nucleotide ribosomal RNA is filed under the name uncultured bacterium. RNAcentral's name for it is "bacterial SSU rRNA". It matches the Rfam family "Bacterial small subunit ribosomal RNA", at positions 331 to 793 of the family's 1533-position model. The record is from RNAcentral.
CCAGACUCCUACGGGAGGCAGCAGUGGGGAAUAUUGCACAAUGGGGGAAACCCUGAUGCAGCAACGCCGCGUGGGUGAAGGAGCGUUUCGGCGCGUAAAGCCCUGUCAGCGGGGAAGAAGAAAGACGGUACCCGACCAAGAAGCCCCGGCUAACUACGUGCCAGCAGCCGCGGUGAUACGUAGGGGGCAAGCGUUAUCCGGAUUUACUGGGUGUAAAGGGAGCGUAGACGGAAUUGCAAGUCUGAUGUGAAAAUCCGGGGCCCAACCCCGGAACUGCAUUGGAAACUGUAUUUCUAGAGUGUCGGAGAGGCAAGUGGAAUUCCUGGUGUAGCGGUGAAAUGCGUAGAUAUCAGGAGGAACACCAGUGGCGAAGGCGGCUUGCUGGACGAUGACUGACGUUGAGGCUCGAAAGCGUGGGGAGCAAACAGGAUUAGAUACCCCCGUAU